Molecule: non-coding RNA, 51 nt
Filed under: Oxalobacter formigenes
Lineage: Bacteria; Pseudomonadati; Pseudomonadota; Betaproteobacteria; Burkholderiales; Oxalobacteraceae
Also listed under: 1 other name
Description: Guanidine-II sequence
Rfam family: Guanidine-II riboswitch aptamer (mini-ykkC)
About the family: Simpler in structure and has fewer highly conserved nucleotide positions than the ykkC-yxkD leader. Despite this each of its two stem-loop structures directly bind free guanidine.
Source: RNAcentral
GACCGGGGACGGCCCCGGUCGUCUUGCCUUCUUUUUAAAGGGACGACCCUU